CUUAUCCCACUGUUUAAGAUGAACAACAAAACCAAAUCAUAACAACAAAACUGUUAGGGAGAAACCAAUAGUAACAUAUAUGCGACUGAGUGAAAAAAAGGAAGGAAUAGGUUAAAGAGGUUACAGAAUUUCGAGAUGUGCUAAUGAUCUUAGAUGCACAUAGUUCCUGCUAUUGUUCAUUAAUAAAUAGAGAGAGAUUAAUCAAAUGGACAGAGGUAAUGAAAGCACUCACAGCAGUUUGUACACUCUUAACAACGCUGAUGGAGGAUGAAGAAUCAGAACUUUCCCCAGUAGCUUUUGAAAUGGUACCGGCACGAUUAUGCUUCCCUGCGAAGACAAGAUGAUGAACAAUCAAACCAUGCACAACAUUGGAAUAACCGUCCAAAUCAAAGGUCCCAGUUAGUGUGCGUGAUUGAUUUUCUAUUUAUUUAAACAAACUUGAGAGACUUUCUGUCUUGAAGAUAUAAUAAAAUCAAACUGUAUAAAGCAAUUUGAGAUCCGGGAAACAUAUAUCAUAUGUUGGUGAAAAUGAUUAACUUUCUCUCUAAACUUGUG
RNAcentral lists this long non-coding RNA (555 nucleotides) under Linum usitatissimum (flax). RNAcentral describes it as "long non-coding RNA (LUSI_LNC001971)". Lineage: Eukaryota; Viridiplantae; Streptophyta; Magnoliopsida; Malpighiales; Linaceae. The record is from RNAcentral.